GAUGAACGCUGGCGGCGUGCCUAAUACAUGCAAGUCGAGCGAACAGAUGAUGAGCUUGUUCCUCUCACGUUAGCGGCGGACGGGUGAGUAACACGUGUAUAACCUACUUAUCAUACUGGUAUCACUUCGGGAAACCGGCUCUUAUCCCGUAUAAUAUCUUGCACCGCAUGGUUCAUUAGUGAAAUACGGUUUUGCUGUCACCUCUCGAUGCUUCCCCGCCGCAUUAGCUAGUUGUUAGGGUAACGGCUUACCACGGCAACGAUGCGUAGCCGAAGUGAGAGGGUGAUAGGCGACACGGGAGCUGAGACGCGGACAAGACGACUAAGAGAGGCAGCAGUAGGGAAUCGGCCGCAAUGGGCGAAAACAUGACGGAGCAACGCGAAGUGAGUGAUGAAGAUGUUCGGAGCGUAAAAAUCUGUUAUUAGGGAAGAACAAAUGUGGAAGUAAAUAUGCACGGAUUGACGGUAACUAAUCAGAAAGCCACGGCUAACUACGUG
Molecule: ribosomal RNA, 497 nt
Filed under: uncultured bacterium
Lineage: Bacteria
Description: partial 16S ribosomal RNA
Rfam family: Bacterial small subunit ribosomal RNA
Source: RNAcentral